RNAcentral lists this ribosomal RNA (253 nucleotides) under uncultured bacterium. RNAcentral describes it as "partial 16S ribosomal RNA". It matches the Rfam family "Bacterial small subunit ribosomal RNA", at positions 524 to 776 of the family's 1533-position model. The record is from RNAcentral.
UACAGAGGUCUCAAGCGUUGUUCGGAAUCAUUGGGCGUAAAGAGCGUGUAGGCGGCCCGGUAAGUCCGCUGUAAAAGUCAAAGGCUCAACCUUUGAAUGUCAGUGGAUACUGCCGGGCUAGAGUCCGGAAGAGGCGAGUGGAACUCCUGGUGUAGCGGUGGAAUGCGCAGAUAUCAGGAAGAACACCAACGGCGAAGGCAGCUCGCUGGGACGGUACUGACGCUGAGACGCGAAAGCGUGGGGAGCGAACAGG